This is a non-coding RNA of Arabidopsis thaliana x Arabidopsis arenosa, 92 nucleotides long. NCBI's taxonomy places the organism in Eukaryota, Viridiplantae, Streptophyta, Magnoliopsida, Brassicales, Brassicaceae. The record is from the annotation of a GenBank genome assembly.
CAAUAAUGAAGCCUUCUUGAAAACCUCUCCCAAGCUUCACAGAAAGUUUCAUUGUUUUUCUGUGUGAAGCCUGGGAUCUCGUUCCUCAAUCU